AUCAAAUCAAAACCCUCGGCUAUUGGUGAACCACAGGUUCUCCUUGAUCGUGUAAGUCCUUCCAUCACCCACUCCAGCACAGCACUUCUGAAAUGCAGAAAUCUGUCACUUCUGAGAUAAAGCCACUAAUCCACCUCUCUCCUUGACACAUUCUCUGUUCAGUGGGCAGAUUUCUUAUAUGGAUAUUUUCUGUCACUUUUGCCAGUACUACCUCUGUGUCAUAAGCUGAUGGCUUUAACCAGUGAUUUUCUGUUUUUCAGAUUCGACGCAGAAAUCCAAACACCUCUCUGUGAAGUGUUUCCAGAGUUUAUCCCCUGCUGAAAGUCUCCUCAAGCAGAAAGAUCUUGUCAGCAGAAGAUGUGGCACAUGUAAACUGGUGGCAUGAGGUUGUGUCUGUCUGCAGCUUCCCUUUCCAUUUGCGAGUCAGAGAUGUACUGAAAGACCUAUUUCUGAAUUUUGAGAGUCAACAUAGCAACACUCAAGGAUGCUACUUCCAUGGUUUCACUGUUUGGAUAGUUAAAGAUGAUCACAGGGCUGCCCAUAUGUGCAGGUUACACAGAACUGCUGGAAGAAAAAUCUGUAGCACAUCCGUGGCACAGACAGGCAAAAUGUUGUGUCAGAAGACUGAAAAAUAGACUGAUUAUUCUGGGAAAGUAGUAACUUAUCCCAGUGACUCUGGUCCCAAAGGCUCUGGCAUUUGUGAUGCUAAUGCACCAUGGUAAGCAAGCUGUUGGAUCUGAUCUCUCACUUUCUUACCUGUAAGGUCAUCAGUCUCUAAGCAGGUCUCAAAUAUUCAAGUGUGCUGUUCAGCUGUGAACUCCGGUCUUGUGCAUGCGUUAAUUAUUCAGCAGUGAUAAGAAGAGGAGAAAAACAACUUGAGAAAUUGAUGUUUGUAUCAUAGGUCAUCUCUUCAAUUGUAUUAAUUAUAUUUAUUCUUUCAGAUCCCUAAAUGACUUGGUCAGAUUGCUCAAAAGGACAAAAAUUUGGAAUAAAGAGUUCUGCUAGUAGUUUUUUUAAUAAUAA
This 1023-nucleotide long non-coding RNA is filed under the name Cyanistes caeruleus (blue tit). RNAcentral's name for it is "lncRNA (ENSCCEG00000019051.1)". The record is from RNAcentral. Lineage: Eukaryota; Metazoa; Chordata; Aves; Passeriformes; Paridae.